Molecule: ribosomal RNA, 468 nt
Filed under: uncultured bacterium
Lineage: Bacteria
Description: partial 16S ribosomal RNA
Rfam family: Bacterial small subunit ribosomal RNA
Source: RNAcentral
GACGAACGCUGGCGGCGUGCUUAACACAUGCAAGUCGAACGGAAAGGCCCUGCUUUUGUGGGGUGCUCGAGUGGCGAACGGGUGAGUAACACGUGAGUAACCUGCCCUUGACUUUGGGAUAACUUCAGGAAACUGGGGCUAAUACCGGAUAGGAGCUCCUGCUGAAUGGUGGGGGUUGGAAAGUUUCGGCGGUUGGGGAUGGACUCGCGGCUUAUCAGCUUGUUGGUGGGGUAGUGGCUUACCAAGGCUUUGACGGGUAGCCGGCCUGAGAGGGUGACCGGCCACAUUGGGACUGAGAUACGGCCCAGACUCCUACGGGAGGCAGCAGUGGGGAAUAUUGCACAAUAGGCGGAAGCCUGAUGCAGCAACGCCGCGUGCGGGAUGACGGCCUUCGGGUUGUAAACCGCUUUCGCCUGUGACGAAGCGUGAGUGGCGGUAAUGGGUAAAGAAGCACCGGCUAACUACGUG